Molecule: ribosomal RNA, 253 nt
Filed under: uncultured bacterium
Lineage: Bacteria
Description: partial 16S ribosomal RNA
Rfam family: Bacterial small subunit ribosomal RNA
Source: RNAcentral
GACGAACCGAGCGAACGUCGUUCGGAAUCACUGGGCUUAAGGGACGCGUAGGCGGGCAUCAAAGUCUGUGGUGAAAUCCGGCAGCUUAACUGUCGAAUUGCCAUGGAUACUGGAUGUCUCGAGGGAGGCAGGGGUGCGCGGAACUGAUGGUGGAGCGGUGAAAUGCGUUGAUAUCAUCAGGAACUCCGGUGGCGAAGGCGGCGCACUGGUCCUCUUCUGACGCUGAGGCGCGAAAGCCAGGGGAGCAAACGGG